This 341-nucleotide ribosomal RNA is filed under the name uncultured Pseudomonadota bacterium. Its description in RNAcentral is "bacterial SSU rRNA". It matches the Rfam family "Bacterial small subunit ribosomal RNA", at positions 29 to 351 of the family's 1533-position model. The record is from RNAcentral. Lineage: Bacteria; Pseudomonadati; Pseudomonadota.
AACGAACGCUGGCGGCGUGCUUAACACAUGCAAGUCGAACGAGAAAUCUUGGGCAACUGAGUGAGUAAAGUGGCGCACGGGUGAGUAACGCGUGGGUAACCUACCCUUGAGUUGGGGAUAACUCCGCGAAAGCGGGGCUAAUACCGAAUAAUAUGUCGGGGUCUUCGGGCCUCGCCAUCAAAGAUGGCCUCUGCAUGCAAGCUACCGCUUAAGGAUGGGCCCGCGUACCAUUAGCUUGUUGGUAGGGUAAUGGCCUACCAAGGCAACGAUGGUUAGCUGGUCUGAGAGGAUGACCAGCCACACUGGAACUGAGACACGGCCCAGACUCCUACGGGUGGCUG